GGGCCCGCACAAGCGGUGGAGCAUGUGGUUUAAUUCGAUGAUACGCGAGGAACCUUACCAGGACUUAAAUGUAAGUUGCAUAGAUCAGAGAUGGUCUUUUCUUCGGACUACUUACAAGGUGCUGCAUGGUUGUCGUCAGCUCGUGCCGUGAGGUGUCAGGUUAAGUCCUAUAACGAGCGCAACCCCCUGUCGUUAGUUACCAGCAUUUUAGUUGGGCACUCUAGAGAGACCGCCGGUGAUAAAACCGGAGAAGGUGUGGAUGACGUCAAGUCAUCAUGCCCCUUACAUCUGGGCUACACACGUACUACAAUGCUACGGACAAAAGGGCAGCAAAACUCGCGAGAGCUAGCAAAAUCCCAUAAACGUGGCUC
Molecule: ribosomal RNA, 371 nt
Filed under: uncultured bacterium
Lineage: Bacteria
Description: bacterial SSU rRNA
Rfam family: Bacterial small subunit ribosomal RNA
Source: RNAcentral